RNAcentral lists this transfer RNA (67 nucleotides) under Priacanthus arenatus (Atlantic bigeye). Its description in RNAcentral is "tRNA-Ser". The record is from RNAcentral. Lineage: Eukaryota; Metazoa; Chordata; Actinopteri; Priacanthiformes; Priacanthidae.
GAGAGAAGCCCGUCGCAGCAAAAACUGCUAAUUUUUGCCCCCUCAGUUAAACUCUGGGGUUCACUCA